Molecule: ribosomal RNA, 2900 nt
Filed under: Klebsiella pneumoniae
Lineage: Bacteria; Pseudomonadati; Pseudomonadota; Gammaproteobacteria; Enterobacterales; Enterobacteriaceae
Description: bacterial LSU rRNA
Rfam family: Bacterial large subunit ribosomal RNA
Source: RNAcentral
UUAAGCGACUAAGCGUACACGGUGGAUGCCCUGGCAGUCAGAGGCGAUGAAGGACGUGCUAAUCUGCGAAAAGCGUCGGUAAGGUGAUAUGAACCGUUAUAACCGGCGAUGUCCGAAUGGGGAAACCCAGUGCAAUUCGUUGCACUAUCGUUAACUGAAUACAUAGGUUAACGAGGCGAACCGGGGGAACUGAAACAUCUAAGUACCCCGAGGAAAAGAAAUCAACCGAGAUUCCCCCAGUAGCGGCGAGCGAACGGGGAGCAGCCCAGAGUCUGAAUCAGCUUGUGUGUUAGUGGAACGGUCUGGAAAGUCCGACGGUACAGGGUGAUAGUCCCGUACACCAAAAUGCACAGGCUGUGAACUCGAAGAGUAGGGCGGGACACGUGGUAUCCUGUCUGAAUAUGGGGGGACCAUCCUCCAAGGCUAAAUACUCCUGACUGACCGAUAGUGAACCAGUACCGUGAGGGAAAGGCGAAAAGAACCCCGGCGAGGGGAGUGAAAAAGAACCUGAAACCGUGUACGUACAAGCAGUGGGAGCACCUUCGGGUGUGACUGCGUACCUUUUGUAUAAUGGGUCAGCGACUUAUAUUCUGUAGCAAGGUUAACCGUAUAGGGGAGCCGCAGGGAAACCGAGUCUUAACUGGGCGUUAAGUUGCAGGGUAUAGACCCGAAACCCGGUGAUCUAGCCAUGGGCAGGUUGAAGGUUGGGUAACACUAACUGGAGGACCGAACCGACUAAUGUUGAAAAAUUAGCGGAUGACUUGUGGCUGGGGGUGAAAGGCCAAUCAAACCGGGAGAUAGCUGGUUCUCCCCGAAAGCUAUUUAGGUAGCGCCUCGUGAACUCAUCUUCGGGGGUAGAGCACUGUUUCGGCUAGGGGGUCAUCCCGACUUACCAACCCGAUGCAAACUACGAAUACCGAAGAAUGUUAUCACGGGAGACACACGGCGGGUGCUAACGUCCGUCGUGAAGAGGGAAACAACCCAGACCGCCAGCUAAGGUCCCAAAGUCAUGGUUAAGUGGGAAACGAUGUGGGAAGGCACAGACAGCCAGGAUGUUGGCUUAGAAGCAGCCAUCAUUUAAAGAAAGCGUAAUAGCUCACUGGUCGAGUCGGCCUGCGCGGAAGAUGUAACGGGGCUAAACCAUGCACCGAAGCUGCGGCAGCGACACUAUGUGUUGUUGGGUAGGGGAGCGUUCUGUAAGCCUGCGAAGGUGACCUGUGAGGGUUGCUGGAGGUAUCAGAAGUGCGAAUGCUGACAUAAGUAACGAUAAAGCGGGUGAAAAGCCCGCUCGCCGGAAGACCAAGGGUUCCUGUCCAACGUUAAUCGGGGCAGGGUGAGUCGACCCCUAAGGCGAGGCCGAAAGGCGUAGUCGAUGGGAAACAGGUUAAUAUUCCUGUACUUGGUGUUACUGCGAAGGGGGGACGGAGAAGGCUAUGUUAGCCGGGCGACGGUUGUCCCGGUUUAAGCAUGUAGGCUGGUUGUCCAGGCAAAUCCGGAUAAUCAAGGCUGAGGUGUGAUGACGAGGCACUACGGUGCUGAAGUAACAAAUGCCCUGCUUCCAGGAAAAGCCUCUAAGCAUCAGGUAACAUCAAAUCGUACCCCAAACCGACACAGGUGGUCAGGUAGAGAAUACCAAGGCGCUUGAGAGAACUCGGGUGAAGGAACUAGGCAAAAUGGUGCCGUAACUUCGGGAGAAGGCACGCUGGUGUGUAGGUGAAGUCCCUGCGGAUGGAGCUGAGACCAGUCGAAGAUACCAGCUGGCUGCAACUGUUUAUUAAAAACACAGCACUGUGCAAACACGAAAGUGGACGUAUACGGUGUGACGCCUGCCCGGUGCCGGAAGGUUAAUUGAUGGGGUUAUCCGUAAGGAGAAGCUCUUGAUCGAAGCCCCGGUAAACGGCGGCCGUAACUAUAACGGUCCUAAGGUAGCGAAAUUCCUUGUCGGGUAAGUUCCGACCUGCACGAAUGGCGUAAUGAUGGCCAGGCUGUCUCCACCCGAGACUCAGUGAAAUUGAACUCGCUGUGAAGAUGCAGUGUACCCGCGGCAAGACGGAAAGACCCCGUGAACCUUUACUAUAGCUUGACACUGAACAUUGAGCCUUGAUGUGUAGGAUAGGUGGGAGGCUUUGAAGCGUGGACGCCAGUCUGCGUGGAGCCAACCUUGAAAUACCACCCUUUAAUGUUUGAUGUUCUAACGUUGGCCCCUUACCGGGGUUGCGGACAGUGUCUGGUGGGUAGUUUGACUGGGGCGGUCUCCUCCCAAAGCGUAACGGAGGAGCACGAAGGUUAGCUAAUCCUGGUCGGACAUCAGGAGGUUAGUGCAAUGGCAUAAGCUAGCUUGACUGCGAGCGUGACGGCGCGAGCAGGUGCGAAAGCAGGUCAUAGUGAUCCGGUGGUUCUGAAUGGAAGGGCCAUCGCUCAACGGAUAAAAGGUACUCCGGGGAUAACAGGCUGAUACCGCCCAAGAGUUCAUAUCGACGGCGGUGUUUGGCACCUCGAUGUCGGCUCAUCACAUCCUGGGGCUGAAGUAGGUCCCAAGGGUAUGGCUGUUCGCCAUUUAAAGUGGUACGCGAGCUGGGUUUAGAACGUCGUGAGACAGUUCGGUCCCUAUCUGCCGUGGGCGCUGGAGAAUUGAGGGGGGCUGCUCCUAGUACGAGAGGACCGGAGUGGACGCAUCACUGGUGUUCGGGUUGUCAUGCCAAUGGCACUGCCCGGUAGCUAAAUGCGGAAGAGAUAAGUGCUGAAAGCAUCUAAGCACGAAACUUGCCCCGAGAUGAGUUCUCCCUGAGACUAUAAGUCUCCUGAAGGAACGUUAAAGACGAUGACGUUGAUAGGCCGGGUGUGUAAGCGCAGCGAUGCGUUGAGCUAACCGGUACUAAUGAACCGUGAGGCUUAACCUU